RNAcentral lists this long non-coding RNA (360 nucleotides) under Medicago truncatula (barrel medic). RNAcentral's name for it is "lncRNA gene22467". Lineage: Eukaryota; Viridiplantae; Streptophyta; Magnoliopsida; Fabales; Fabaceae. The record is from RNAcentral.
GAAAAGCUUGAAAACUCAAGAGGUGAUAGAGAUUCUAGGAGCUAAAUUGAAGCUUUAGCUAGGAUUAUUUGCUAAUUGAGACGAAGUGCAGGAUUAGUUGCUUUGGUGAGUUGCUCGGUGAUUGCUUGGAUAGCGGGAGCUAUCUCCGUUAUCGGUUCCGUAGAGUCAUAGGAUAAGCUCUGAACUAGGAUGUUAUCUUUUGAUUUAUUAUAGAUUGUCUAUCCUGAAUUUAUUUAUGUUUUGGAGAAUUUUAUGAUGAUUAUUCGAUCUCAUGUCAUGUAUACUUUUGAGGUGUAUGGUUUAUAUCCGCUGCAACUGUUGAGAAUUUUUAUACAUGCAUGUUGUUUUGGAUUUUGUUGA